Molecule: long non-coding RNA, 1330 nt
Organism: Drosophila mojavensis
Lineage: Eukaryota; Metazoa; Arthropoda; Insecta; Diptera; Drosophilidae
Exons: 4
Source: RefSeq, a predicted model, not a curated record
CAUAAACCUUUGCUGCUCACUGACUCAUCGUUCAAAGAAAUAAGGGUUUUUCCAGAAACUUGUCGCAUUCCGCUUAGUUACGAAAGACAAACGAUUAUUCAGUUUUAAUAUAAGUGUCCAAGCAAUUACUUGCGUGUUGAGUAAAAUAUGGCGUCGAAUCAGUCGAGUAUACUGAUAUUGCCUGAUGAUUGUUUUGGUAUCGUACUCAAGUAUUUGGACGGUAGAGAUCAUUUGAGUUUUGGGCAAACUUGCAUGAGGUUUAGAGAAGUCUUAAGGAACUGGUCAAGUGUGCUCUACCCUGAGUUUUGGUUAAUUUGUAAUGAAGAUAAUCAAUGGGAAUUAGAAUUGUUUACUAUUAUCUGCGGUAACAUUAAGAAAUUGAAAGUUUCUAUUAGAGACUGGACGGAUAUCCGAACUAUAGAGCUUUACGAAAAACUUGAAAGCAUGAAUUUGGAAAGCUUUUUUUACGACUCGGUAUUGGAACCCCAGAAGGAACUUUUUGAAGCCCUGCAGCACAUGCAAAAUCUAAAGUGUGUUCGUCUGAUAGAUUAUUAUUAUAGCGAUAUCAUUGUGGAUGGCUUCGGUAAACUAAACUUACUGCAAAAACUUAAAUUGUGUUUCGUCAGAAUCGAAGAUCUUGUUGAAAUAUGCAAAUCACAUGCAAAUAUUGAGGAGCUGGAGUUAGGCGAAAUUUAUUCUUGGAAGGAUAAUUCUCACAAGUUAGCAAGUCUUCCAGAGCUACCCAAAUUGACACAUUUUUCCAUUUCCAAAAUUGAAGGAUUUUCGGCUUCAGAGCUCUUGGAUGCAUUAGUUACUAAUGCAACGCGAUUAGAGUCUUUGCCUUGACUGUGGUCUUGAAGAUAAGAGUUGCAUUGGUCCUUUGACCGAUCUAACUGAACUUGAGCAUCUUACUCUAUUGAUUCAUACUAAUACAACUGUAAAAGAGCAAUAUAUAAAAAUUAUCAUAUCUUGCAAAAAGCUAAAGUCCCUAAAUAUAGAAGGACUCGACCCUAGGGCUCAACUUUGUUUCUAAAGCUAUUGAAGUAUUGCGGACUGUGCGGCAAAUUCAUAAGCAGAAGCCCCUAAAAUUAUAUUGCCGCAGAGUGGACACACCGGUUGAUUACUUGCUCUUGACAGGGCCUUAAUUGUUUCUAUAAAUAUUUAAAGUUUAAGCAUAUAGUAUAUACAUACAUACACGAUGAGCUCAGAUGCCUAGAUCGUUCGACAAAUCAAACUGUAAUUAAGGGGCUCUACAUAAGAUUGGGUACUGAACUUCAUCAUAUGUUAUUAACUUUACUUUUUGAUAAUAAAUGUAUCUGUAAUAUCUGAA